UCGAGAGUUUGAUCCUGGCUCAGAUUGAACGCUGGCGGAAUGCUUUACACAUGCAAAUCGAAUGGUAGAGGGGGCAACCCCUCGAGAGUGGCGAACGGGUGAGUAAUAUAUCGGAACGUGCCCAGUCGUGGGGGAUAACGUAGCGAAAGUUACGCUAAUACCGCAUACGAUCUAAGGAUGAAAGCGGGGAUCGCAAGACCUCGCGCGACUGGAGCGGCCGAUAUCAGAUUAGGUAGUUGGUGGGGUAAAGGCUCACCAAGCCAACGAUCUGUAGCUGGUCUGAGAGGACGACCAGCCACACUGGAACUGAGACACGGUCCAGACCUCCGUACGGGAGGCAGCGAG
RNAcentral lists this ribosomal RNA (345 nucleotides) under uncultured Comamonadaceae bacterium. RNAcentral describes it as "bacterial SSU rRNA". It matches the Rfam family "Bacterial small subunit ribosomal RNA", at positions 1 to 354 of the family's 1533-position model. The record is from RNAcentral. Lineage: Bacteria; Pseudomonadati; Pseudomonadota; Betaproteobacteria; Burkholderiales; Comamonadaceae.